This 798-nucleotide ribosomal RNA is filed under the name Cytobacillus firmus. RNAcentral's name for it is "bacterial SSU rRNA". It matches the Rfam family "Bacterial small subunit ribosomal RNA", at positions 73 to 855 of the family's 1533-position model. The record is from RNAcentral. Lineage: Bacteria; Bacillati; Bacillota; Bacilli; Caryophanales; Bacillaceae.
UGGGAGCUUGCUCCCUGAAGUCAGCGGCGGACGGGUGAGUAACACGUGGGCAACCUGCCUGUAAGACUGGGAUAAUUCCGGGAAACCGGGGCUAAUACCGGAUAACUCUUUUCUUCACAUGAGGAAAAGUUGAAAGAUGGUUUCGGCUAUCACUUACAGAUGGGCCCGCGGCGCAUUAGCUAGUUGGUGAGGUAACGGCUCACCAAGGCCACGAUGCGUAGCCGACCUGAGAGGGUGUUCGGCCACACUGGGACUGAGACACGGCCCAGAUUCUUACGGGAGGCAGCAGUAGGGAUUCUUCCGCAAUGGACGAAAUUCUGACGGAGCAACGCCGCUUGAGUGAUGAAGGUUUUCGGAUCGUAAAAUUCUGUUGUCAGGGAAGAACAAGUACCGGAGUAACUGCCGGUACCUUGACGGUACCUGACCAGAAAGCCACGGCUAACUACGUGCCAGCAGCCGCGGUAAUACGUAGGUGGCAAGCGUUGUCCGGAAUUAUUGGGCGUAAAGCGCGCGCAGGCGGUUCCUUAAGUCUGAUGUGAAAGCCCCCGGCUCAACCGGGGAGGGUCAUUGGAAACUGGGGAACUUGAGUGCAGAAGAGAAGAGUGGAAUUCCACGUGUAGCGGUGAAAUGCGUAGAGAUGUGGAGGAACACCAGUGGCGAAGGCGACUCUUUGGUCUGUAACUGACGCUGAGGCGCGAAAGCGUGGGGAGCAAACAGGAUUAGAUACCCUGGUAGUCCACGCCGUAAACGAUGAGUGCUAAGUGUUAGAGGGUUUCCGCCCUUUAGUGCUGCAGCAAA